GACGGAUUCCAAGAUUCCGGAUGCGCAGUAUGGCUAUGAGAAAGGAUUAACCAUCACCCUCGCAGCGCUGUCAGGAGCGAAUCGCGUCUGC
RNAcentral lists this non-coding RNA (91 nucleotides) under marine eukaryotic metagenome. RNAcentral describes it as "Pyrrolysine insertion sequence mttB". It matches the Rfam family "Pyrrolysine insertion sequence mttB". The record is from RNAcentral.